CGUCUCGUAGUGACCUGCGGAGGGACAUUACCGAGAGAGGGCGCCUCGCGCGCCCGACCUCCCAACCCUUUGUCGACCGUACUGCGUUGCCUCUGGGUGCCGGCGCCCGCGUCGCCCCAAGAGGACCCAACCGAAACCCUGCGUCUUUGCGUCGGAGUCACUUUGAUAAAUCAAUCAAAACUUUCAACAACGGAUCUCUUGGUUCUGGCAUCGAUGAAGAACGCAGCGAAAUGCGAUAAGUAAUGUGAAUUGCAGAAUUCAGUGAAUCAUCGAAUCUUUGAACGCACACUGCGCCCCUUGGUAUUCCGGGGGGCAUGCCCGUUCGAGCGUCAUUUCACCAAUCAAGCCUGGCUUGGUAUUGGGCACCGGGGGCGACCCGGGCCCGAAAGUCGCCGGCUGGAAAGCUCUGAUCUCAGCGUCGUGGUUUUACAAACUCGCCGGCGAGAGGGGCGGUCUGUGCCGUGAAAUCUUUUUAAGGUUGACCUCGGAUCGGGUAGGAAUACCCGCUGAACUUAAGCAUAUCAUAAGCCCGGAGGACCCGCGGGUGCGGUGCGCCAAUAAUUAAGAGUAAGAUUGGGGCAAGGCGGCCGGGGGGUCCGGGGAGAAGUCGUGGGAAGGGGGCGAAUUCUCGGGGAAGCGCGAGGACGCAAGGCGGACUGGGAGUUCGAGCAACAACGCAGUGGGAAAACACGGCGACGGUAGGGCCAAUUAUACGAUAUUGUGAUUGAGGGAGGAUAGGCACCGGGGACCCUUAUUACGCUUUAUCCCUGCGAGCAAAAGGGAGGCGGGAGGUGUUCAUAACAAGAAGUGCAGAUGUU
This 818-nucleotide ribosomal RNA is filed under the name uncultured fungus. RNAcentral describes it as "eukaryotic LSU rRNA". The stretch from base 179 to 332 matches the Rfam family "5.8S ribosomal RNA". Lineage: Eukaryota; Fungi. The record is from RNAcentral.